RNAcentral lists this long non-coding RNA (707 nucleotides) under Ananas comosus (pineapple). RNAcentral's name for it is "long non-coding RNA (ACOM_LNC017901)". Lineage: Eukaryota; Viridiplantae; Streptophyta; Magnoliopsida; Poales; Bromeliaceae. The record is from RNAcentral.
CACUAGUAAUAAUAACUGGGCUUAAGCAUUUUGGGCCGGUUGUUGGGCCCAACGAGUUAUUGUUGCUAGUGGGCUGGGUCGUUACAUUUGGUAUCAGAGCCGGUUCACCAGCUGGACAUGUGUGGCGAGUCUCGGCUGAGCCAGGGUCUGGAUGACGGGCUAGCGAGACGAGUCUCACAUCACCUGGUGAUCUUGGGCUGUGUGUGUGAUUGGACUGACGAGGACGUCAGGGUCUUAACGGGGAGAGUCUGUGACACCCCAAUAAUCCCACAUCGGAUGGGAAUGGGGUUGUCAUUGGGUUUAUAAGAGACUUAGACACUAGUAAUAAUAACUGGGCUUAAGCAUUUUGGGCCGGUUGUUGGGCCCAACGAGUUAUUGUUGCUAGUGGGCUGGGUCGUUACAUUUGGUAUCAGAGCCGGUUCACCAGCUGGACAUGUGUGGCGAGUCUCGGCUGAGCCAGGGUCUGGAUGACGGGCUAGCGAGACGAGUCUCACAUCACCUGGUGAUCUUGGGCUGUGUGUGUGAUUGGACUGACGAGGACGUCAGGGUCUUAACGGGGAGAGUCUGUGACACCCCAAUAAUUCCACAUCGGAUGGGAAUGGGGUUGUCAUUGGGUUUAUAAGAGACUUAGACACUAGUAAUAAUAACUGGGCUUAAGCAUUUUGGGCGGGUUGUUUGGGCCCAACGAGUUAUUGUUGCUAGCGGGU